AAUUAAUGAGAGUUUGAUCCUGGCUCAGGAUGAACGCUGGCUGUGUGCCUAAUACAUGCAUGUUGAACGAAGCUAAAAGUGCUUGCACUUUAAGACUUAGUAGCGAAUGGGUGAGUAACACGUACUUAACCUACCCCCAAGUUUGGGAUAACGUUUGGAAACGAACGCUAAUACCGAAUACGUAUUUGAAUCGCAUGAUUUAAAUAUAAAAGGAGCUUCGGCUUCGCUAGGGGAUGGGAGUGCGCUACAUUAGUUAGUUGGUAGGGUAAUGGCCUACCAAGACUAUGAUGUAUAGCGGGGCCGAGAGGCUGAUCCGCCACACUGGGACUGAGAUACGGCCCAGACUCCUACGGGAGGCAGCAGUAGGGAAUUUUCCACAAUGAACGAAAGUUUGAUGGAGCGACACAGCGUGCAGGAUGAAGGUCUUCGGAUCGUAAACUGCUGUUAUAAGGGAAGAAAAACUCUAGUAGGUAAUGACUAGAACUUGACGGUACCUUAUCAGAAAGCGACGGCUAACUAUGUGCCAGCAGCCGCGGUAAUACAUAGGUCGCAAGCGUUAUCCGGAAUUAUUGGGCGUAAAGAGUUCGUAGGUGGUCUUGUCAGUCUGAAGUUAAAGCCCGGGGCUCAACCCCGGCCCGCUUUGGAUACUGCAAGACUAGAGUAUUAGAGAGGUUAGUGGAACUCCAAGUGAAGCGGUGGAAUGCGUAGAUAUUUGGAAGAACACCAAUGGCGAAGGCAACUAACUGGCUAAUAACUGACACUGAGGAACGAAAGCGUGGGUAGCAAACAGGAUUAGAUACCCUGGUAGUCCACGCUGUAAACGAUGAUCACUAGACGGUAGAGGAUUUACUGUCACAGCUAACGCAUUAAGUGAUCCGCCUGAGUAGUAUGCUCGCAAGAGUGAAACUUAAAGGAAUUGACGGGGACCCGCACAAGCGGUGGAGCAUGUGGUUUAAUUUGAAGAUACGCGGAGAACCUUACCCACUCUUGACAUCUUCCGCAAAGCUAUGGAGACAUAGUGGAGGUUAACGGAAUGACAGAUGGUGCAUGGUUGUCGUCAGCUCGUGUCGUGAGAUGUUCGGUUAAGUCCGGCAACGAGCGCAACCCCUGUCCUUAGUUACCAGCACGUAGUGGUGGGGACUCUAGGGAGACUGCCUGGGUAACCAGGAGGAAGGUGGGGACGACGUCAAAUCAUCAUGCCUCUUACGAGUGGGGCAACACACGUGCUACAAUGGGAGAUACAGAAUGACGCAAUAUGGUGACAUGGAGCAAAUCACAAAAAUCUCUCUCAGUUCGGAUCGAAGUCUGCAACUCGACUUCGUGAAGUUGGAAUCGCUAGUAAUCGUAGGUCAGCUAUACUACGGUGAAUACGUUCUCGGGUCUUGUACACACCGCCCGUCACACCACGGGAGCUGGUAAUGCCCGAAGCUGGUUUAUUAACUUCGGAGAUGACUGUCUAAGGCAGGACCGGUGACUGGGGUGAAGUCGUAACAAGGUAUCCCUACGAGAACGUGGGGAUGGAUCACCUCCUUUCUA
This 1536-nucleotide ribosomal RNA is filed under the name Mycoplasma marinum. Its description in RNAcentral is "bacterial SSU rRNA". It matches the Rfam family "Bacterial small subunit ribosomal RNA". The record is from RNAcentral. Lineage: Bacteria; Bacillati; Mycoplasmatota; Mollicutes; Mycoplasmatales; Mycoplasmataceae.